This is a long non-coding RNA of Meleagris gallopavo (turkey), 1070 nucleotides long. RefSeq lists it as uncharacterized. The record is from RefSeq and is a predicted model, not a curated record. NCBI's taxonomy places the organism in Eukaryota, Metazoa, Chordata, Aves, Galliformes, Phasianidae.
GCAAGUGUAGGUGCGGUGCGUGGGGGGGGGCAGCGUGAGGAGAGCGGCGGGCGGGAGGAGCCGAGCGCUCUUGAGCACUGAAGAUCCCCUAGCAAUGCCAGCAGAAGAUGUGCUGGAGUACAGAGGUGUGGCUGUGCAGCAUGGGGAGAGGGCGUUCCUGUGUGUGACCGAUCUUUCCUGCAGAGCAACUGCUUGGUGCUGAUAGUGAGAACUGGAAGGCAACGUGUGCUGGAAGUCUUGCUGAUAUCUAAAAGCCUCAGGAUUUGUGCCAUGCAACUGACAGUCAACCUUCAAGGCUGCAGUUCCAGUUUCCAGGUUGUGGCAGAAGUCUAGCUGUAGCAGUAGCUUACUCAUAAUGUCUGUCAUCUUCCUCGUUUGUUGAUUGCGAAAUGCAUAUUAAACAUUUUCUUAUUUUCAGAAGAGGUCUAAGAUGUUUAUGUGAACUGAAAAAUAUCAGUAGAUGCAAAACAACCAUUAAUACUCAUUCACUCAAGAGCUUUGUAUGACCUCUCAGCUUUCUGCUUUCCUUGCUAAAGAUUUUGGGUACUUUGUUUUAUUAAGACCCCUAUAAGGAAGAGAAGUAUGAGAAUAAAGAGCUAGAACAAAAACUAAAUGCAAAACUCAAUGAGCAUUUAGCAUAAUCUCAGCAUUGCCACACCUUACCUUUAGGCCCUUACCUCAAGCUUGAAUCUAAGCCGAGUUAUGUUCUGUAUAAAAUGUACUGAAGACAGACACUUAAAAACUAGAUUUGUGACAGCGUUGCCACUUGCAUGGGAACUGAAUAAUGGCCUGAACCACUGAUUGAGCACCUGGGGAAAGGACCCCAUCAGCCCUGGGAGUACAGGUGAAGGCAAUUCAUCUGUGUGACUAGGAGGGGUGGUGCCUGUCUGCACCUCUCUUAGACCUCAUUUAAGGUCUAACUGUCACUGAGGAAGGAUCUGUUUCUGGAGAUUGCUCCUUGGUGAAGCUUUCCCCUGUGAAUCUAGAAUCUUCUCAUACAGGUGAGCAAUCUUCUUCCUUUCCUUCAUAGCACCUUUCUAUUGUGCUUGUCUUUCUGUAAUCACAUCUCU